RNAcentral lists this ribosomal RNA (439 nucleotides) under uncultured bacterium. RNAcentral's name for it is "partial 16S ribosomal RNA". It matches the Rfam family "Bacterial small subunit ribosomal RNA", at positions 338 to 795 of the family's 1533-position model. The record is from RNAcentral.
CCUACGGGCGGCAGCAGUGGGGAAUAUUGCACAAUGGGGGAAACCCUGAUGCAGCGACGCCGCGUGAGUGAAGAAGUAUUUCGGUACGUAAAGCUCUAUCAGCAGGGAAGAAAAUGACGGUACCUGACUAAGAAGCCGCGGCUAACUACGUUCCAGCAGCCGCGGUAAUACGUAGGGGACAAUCGUUAUCCGGAUUCAUUGGGUUUAAAGGGUGCGCAGGCGGGCCUUUAAGCCGGCGGGGAAAGCGCGGGGCUCAACCCCGGCGAGCCGUCGGAACUGGGGGCCUUGAGUGCGGCGGAGGCAUGCGGAAUGCGCGGUGUAGCGGUGAAAUGCAUAGAUAUCGCGCAGAACCCCGAUUGCGAAGGCAGCGUGCCGUGCCGCCACUGACGCUGAGGCACGAAAGCGCGGGGAUCGAACAGGAUUAGAUACCCUAGUAGUC